Molecule: long non-coding RNA, 505 nt
Filed under: Oryctolagus cuniculus (rabbit)
Lineage: Eukaryota; Metazoa; Chordata; Mammalia; Lagomorpha; Leporidae
Description: lncRNA (ENSOCUG00000038052.1)
Source: RNAcentral
ACAUGCACACUCGAGUCCUUUCUUUCCCCCUAGUCCCCUGAGAAGGAAGGAACACACACACACACACACACACACACACACACACGGCGUUCCUUUGAGAAAGCAACGGAGAACCCAGGAAAAGCCAAAGAAACAUUGAGAGCCUGGGGGUAGGGGCCCGAGAGAGAGAGAUAGGGUCGUCGAGUCUACGCGGAAUUGUAUAAUUCCAGCAUGGAGAGGGGUAACUGAAGCUUCAUCCAUGGACCUGAUUUCUCCUCAUCUCUGACUCUUUAGUAAUCCUUGAACUUGCAUCUAGUCAGAAAGCAAAGACAGAACAGUCAAUAGGAGGAAAAGCUGUCCCUUCCCUUUAGAAAAUAAUAAGGGGAAAAAAAACCACAACGAUGUCAGACAUGAUCAAUCUCACCAGAGGGGUAAGUACACAAACAGCCUCCUUCUGAAACCUACAAGAAAAUUGUUGUUAGGAAGAAUUUUUCUUGGAGGAAAGGAAAACAAUAGUUCUCUGCAA